AAAUCUAAAUGCGUUUCAGAUGUUACCUCAUUUUCAUUUGCCAUGAAGCAGAAGUUGGCCUUUUCCUCUUGUUCCUCAUCCGAUGAUGAUGAUGAUGAAUCGGAGUCCGACAAAGUGGAGACGAGGACUUUCUUUUUCUUAUAUUUGCUGCCCUUCUUAAGCAAGGGACAGUCAACUCUGAAAUGUCCCGGCUUCUUGCAUUCAUAGCAUCCGAUUCCUUCAUUUUCCCU
Molecule: long non-coding RNA, 230 nt
Filed under: Phoenix dactylifera (date palm)
Lineage: Eukaryota; Viridiplantae; Streptophyta; Magnoliopsida; Arecales; Arecaceae
Description: long non-coding RNA (PDAC_LNC012040)
Source: RNAcentral